Molecule: ribosomal RNA, 420 nt
Filed under: uncultured Nitrososphaerota archaeon
Lineage: Archaea; Thermoproteati; Nitrososphaerota
Description: bacterial SSU rRNA
Rfam family: Archaeal small subunit ribosomal RNA
Source: RNAcentral
CAGCCGCCGCGGUAAUACCAGCACCCCGAGUGGUCGGGACGUUUAUUGGGCCUAAAGCAUCCGUAGCCGGUUCUACAAGUCUUCCGUUAAAUCCACCUGCUUAACAGAUGGGCUGCGGAAGAUACUAUAGAGCUAGGAGGCGGGAGAGGCAAGCGGUACUCGAUGGGUAGGGGUAGAAUCCGUUGAUCCAUUGAAGACCACCAGUGGCGAAGGCGGCUUGCCAGAACGCGCUCGACGGUGAGGGAUGAAAGCUGGGGGAGCAAACCGGAUUAGAUACCCGGGUAGUCCCAGCUGUAAACGAUGCAGACUCGGUGGUGAAUUGGCUUAUUGCUAAUUCAGUGCCGCAGGGAAGCCGUUAAGUUUGCCGCCUGGGGAGUACGGUCGCAAGACUGAAACCUAAAGGAAUUGGCGGGGGAGCAC